RNAcentral lists this transfer RNA (83 nucleotides) under Schistocephalus solidus. It matches the Rfam family "tRNA". From Rfam's summary of the family: Transfer RNA (tRNA) molecules are approximately 80 nucleotides in length. Their secondary structure includes four short double-helical elements and three loops (D, anti-codon, and T loops). Further hydrogen bonds mediate the characteristic L-shaped molecular structure. tRNAs have two regions of fundamental functional importance: the anti-codon, which is responsible for specific mRNA codon recognition, and the 3' end, to which the tRNAs corresponding amino acid is attached (by aminoacyl-tRNA synthetases). tRNAs cope with the degeneracy of the genetic code in two manners: having more than one tRNA (with a specific anti-codon) for a particular amino acid; and 'wobble' base-pairing, i.e. permitting non-standard base-pairing at the 3rd anti-codon position. The record is from Rfam by way of RNAcentral. Lineage: Eukaryota; Metazoa; Platyhelminthes; Cestoda; Diphyllobothriidea; Diphyllobothriidae.
GGUCUCGUAGCUGAGGUGAUUAGGGCGUUGGCUGUUCUAAAGCCUUCUCCUUGCUGGCGUGGGUUCAAAUCCCACCGAGGCCG